CUGCAAUUUGGCAGCACAUACACUAAAACUGUAACCAUUCAGAGAAGAGGAUCAUGGCCCAUGUGCAAGGAUGGCACACAAAUUCAAGAAGUGCUCCACAGUUUU
Molecule: small nuclear RNA, 105 nt
Filed under: Neotoma lepida (desert woodrat)
Lineage: Eukaryota; Metazoa; Chordata; Mammalia; Rodentia; Cricetidae
Source: RNAcentral